Long non-coding RNA from Syngnathoides biaculeatus (alligator pipefish), 806 nucleotides. RefSeq lists it as uncharacterized. NCBI's taxonomy places the organism in Eukaryota, Metazoa, Chordata, Actinopteri, Syngnathiformes, Syngnathidae. The record is from RefSeq and is a predicted model, not a curated record. The transcript has 2 exons.
UAUUGGAGACUCUCAUCGCAGUACCACAGUCAAUCUACUUAAUAAGUCUCGGAACCCCUACUUCCCUCGUGAAUUCUUGUGUCAUGUGUGUUCCUAGUGCUCUACUGCAUUCCCGUUCCACACCAUUCCUUCCACCAAGCAGGCCACCUGUUCAAUCCACUGCCUGCCACCUGUCCAUGCUUGGACCUGCCAACACAUCACUGGACGACCCCCACAAACUUUUGUCAAUAAACUGCUCAUCAAAUUACAUCAGCCUCCACCUGCUCUUGGGUCCAGCUCCCCUCAACUCUUGACUCAACUCAACUUUGGCCAUCAUGGACACAGCAACUCCGCAGGCAAUAACAACCGCACUCACCCUCCAGGAACUCAUGGAAUCUUUCCGAUCCCUCAGGCAACAGGAAAGGAUUCUGGAGAUGCUUUUCCUGCGAAUUGCUGUGCCUCCAUUCUUCACCACCCACCAACUAAGGUCGUGGAGUUCCCUGCAUCACCGUUCCCUGAGAUGAGGGAGGGGAAGAACAGGGAAGACAUUGUGAUGCAUCUUGGGGUGAAAACUUAUCUCAAGUGUCUCCAAGGUUUUUAGAGAAAACACUUCAUUGUGGAAGUUUUUUUCGUAAAAGCCUGUCUUUUAUUGCCAAGUUUUGCUUCAUAAUCUCUUCAUUGCAGAUUUUACAUUUAUAUAAAAUGGAGUUUAAACCUGCCUUGCUCAUAUGUAUUUUACCUGUAUAACAGGUAUCAGUCAAUGUUCAUGCGUCUUUUGAAAUAAGAACAAUGAAUAAAAAGAGCUAUUGGCGAGCCUCUGUGCAUCA